UACGUAGGGUCCGAGCGUUGUCCGGAAUUACUGGGCGUAAAGAGCUCGUAGGUGGUUUGUCGCGUUGUUCGUGAAAACUCACAGCUCAACUGUGGGCGUGCGGGCGAUACGGGCAGACUUGAGUACUGCAGGGGAGACUGGAAUUCCUGGUGUAGCGGUGGAAUGCGCAGAUAUCAGGAGGAACACCGGUGGCGAAGGCGGGUCUCUGGGCAGUAACUGACGCUGAGACACGAAAGCGUGGGGAGCAAACAGG
Molecule: ribosomal RNA, 253 nt
Filed under: uncultured bacterium
Lineage: Bacteria
Description: partial 16S ribosomal RNA
Rfam family: Bacterial small subunit ribosomal RNA
Source: RNAcentral